UGCUUGAGGUUCAAGGCAGUCAGUGUCUCUCUCUUCUGCCUCCAGUCAGCUGGUUAUUUAUCAGAGUCCCAAGAAGUCUUCCUUGCUCAUUGCUCACUGGUAGAGGGGAGAGAUUAUGCAGUGGGCUUUUGAUUGAUUCAAUGGGAAUUACGUUGAUCUGGUGUCUGGCCUUGGUUCUUAUCAAGUGGAUCACCUCUAAGAGGCGUGGAGCUAUUUCCUAUGACAGUUCUGAUCAGACUGCAUUGUACAUUCGUAUGCUAGGAGAUGUACGCGUAAGGAGCCGAGCAGGAUUUGAAUCUGAAAGAAGAGGUUCUCAUCCGUAUAUUGAUUUUCGUAUUUUUCACUCUCAAUCUGAAAUUGAAGUGUCUGUCUCUGCAAGGAAUAUCAGACGGUUACUAAGUUUCCAGCGGUAUCUUAGAUCUUCACGCUUUUUUCGUGGUACUACCGUUUCAAAUUCUCUAAAUAUUUUAGAUGAUGAUUAUAAUGGACAAGCCAAGUGUAUGCUGGAAAAAGUUGGAAAUUGGAAUUUUGAUAUCUUUCUAUUUGAUAGACUAACAAAUGGAAAUAGUCUAGUAAGCUUAACCUUUCAUUUAUUUAGUCUUCAUGGAUUAAUUGAGUACUUCCAUUUAGAUAUGAUGAAACUUCGUAGAUUUUUAGUUAUGAUUCAAGAAGAUUACCACAGUCAAAAUCCCUACCACAAUGCAGUCCAUGCUGCAGACGUUACUCAGGCCAUGCACUGUUACUUAAAAGAACCUAAGCUUGCCAAUUCUGUAACUCCUUGGGAUAUCUUGCUGAGCUUAAUUGCAGCUGCCACUCAUGAUCUGGAUCAUCCAGGUGUUAAUCAACCUUUCCUUAUUAAAACUAACCAUUACUUGGCAACUUUAUACAAGAAUACCUCAGUACUGGAAAAUCACCACUGGAGAUCCGCUGUGGGCUUAUUGAGAGAAUCUGGUUUAUUCUCACAUAUGCCAUUAGAAAGCAGGCAACAAAUGGAGACCCAGAUAGGUGCUUUGAUACUAGCCACAGACAUCAGUCGCCAGAAUGAAUAUCUGUCAUUAUUUAGGUCCCAUUUGGAUAGAGGUGACUUAUGCCUAGAAGACACCAGACAUAGGCAUUUGGUUUUACAGAUGGCUUUGAAAUGUGCUGAUAUUUGUAACCCAUGUCGGACCUGGGAAUUAAGCAAGCAGUGGAGUGAAAAAGUAACAGAGGAAUUCUUUCAUCAAGGUGAUAUAGAAAAAAAGUAUCGUUUGGGUGUGAGUCCACUUUGUGAUCGUCAGACUGAAUCUAUUGCCAACAUCCAGAUUGGUUUUAUGACUUACCUAGUGGAGCCUUUAUUUACAGAAUGGGCCAGGUUUUCAAAUACAAGACUGUCCCAGACAAUGCUCGGACAUGUGGGGCUGAACAAAGCCAGCUGGAAGGGACUGCAGCGAGAACAGUCCAGCAGUGAGGAUGCUAACACGGCGUUUGAGUUGAACUCACAGUUAUUACCUCAGGAAAAUCGAUCAUCAUAAAACCCUCAGAACCAGUGGAAUAGACUGCCUCCUGGAGGUUAUUAGAAAUGUGAAAUGGGGUCUUGAGGUGAGAGAACUUACUCUUGACUGCCAAGGUUUCCAAGUGAAUGAUGCCAGCAUUAUUUAUUUCCAAGACUUCCUCUGUUGGAUCAUUUGAACCCACUUUUUAAUUAUAAGACCUGAACACAUAGCAAUAUGCAUUUGGCUUUUGUGUGAAACCUUGAAUAUGCAAAGCCCAGCAGGAGAGAGUCGAAAAGGAGUAACAAAGGAAGUUUUGAGGUGUGCCACGUGUUUUUCAAAGCAUUUAUUCUUCAAACCAUGAAACUUGAACUGAAUCUUUCAGCAGCAAUCUCUUGGAAUUUAACCAGUCCGAUGCAACAAUGUGUAUCUGUACCUUCCACUAAGUUCUCUCUGAGAAAACAGAAAUGUGAAGUGCCCAGCCUCUGCUGCCUCUUGGCAAGACUUAGUGUUUACAAAUCAACUCGGAAAAUAUUGGUUCUAUAUUGCCUGGGAGCAUGAUUGUGAAGGAACCACUGAAAAAUUUAAAGAUCAAAACUUAGACUGCAGCUCUAUCCCCCUGGUUUGCCUUUUUCCUUCUUUGGAUGCCACCAAAGUCUCCCAUUUGCUGUAGUUUUAUUUUGUGCACUGGAAGCAGCGUUUAUCAUAGAGUUCCGCCAAGCUUUAGCUCCAGUGCUAUUGGGCAAUGCAAUUAUUUUUUUAACUAUUAGUUUUUAAUUUGGGGUGGGAGGGGAAGAAUACCACCAGUGUCCUAGCUGUGUUAUGAUUCUGCAGUGAAGACAUUGCAUGUUGUUUUCACUCUGUACACUUGACCUGGACAUGCAAGAAAAAGGUGGAAUGUUUAAAACACCAUAAUCAGCUCAGGGUAUUUGCCAAUCUGAAAUAAAGUGGGAUGGGGAAGUGUGUCCUUCAGAACAAGGGUACUAAAGUCCCUUUCGCUGCAGUGAGUGAGAGGCAAAUCUUCUUGGGAAGCCAAAUUAUGAUCAGCCGAUGGCUUGGUGAGCAUGGAUUCUGAGCAAGGGAAACAAGUUGCCUCAUGCAUCUAUCUCCCUAUGGGGAUACACCUGCUGAUAUUCAUGUUUGUGGACCAGGGUAUCCCCUCCCCCUGGACGAUGCUAGAGAUUUCUCUGCCAGUCGUUGCUCCUCCACAUCGGCUUCUGAUUGGCACAUCCAUUAGAUACGUCAUCGCCUUCACCCGUGCUUCAGAUGAGCCUCCCUAGGCUCCACUCUGCCUCUGAAUGAUUGCUUACUUCACUGAUCCAUUAUGUCUGUCUUACAGUUUAAUACUAGUGGACUAUCUUCUCAUUUACACAUUCUCAGGGGACACCUUGGUGUUGCUCCCAUUUCCUGCCUACACAUAUGAGGGUUCUUCAAAAAGUUCAUGGAAAGAUAUGUAUUCUCUUUUAUUUUUCCACUAACUCUUUGCAGUAUCAUCAUACAAAAACCUCACUGAAAAGUUAUUUUGUUAUGUAUAUGUGGGAAUCACCUUCCACAGUCCUGGUUCUUAAAUAUGACCCAUAUUCCUUGAACAUUGAUUUUUCUAGAAAAAUCUGAAGAAAUGGUUAAGUAUUUAGAAGAUCACAGUUUUUAAAAAGUAAUUAUGGAACAAUGAAAAUUCACAUGAAUUUUCAAGAUAAAACAGACUUCAAAAAAUUGUUGAGCAUGUAGCAGCCCUUUGGGUCUCUGGACCCAACACUUGGGGGGGCGUCUCUGCUCUAGGGGUAAAGGUCCUUGGAGAGAAAAUUUUGACAAGUCCUAGGUUAAUGAAAAAAGAAAAAAACUAUGGUUCCUGGUCAAUAUUUGUACUCAGCUGUAAAUGCGAUGGUUUAUAAUGAUCCUCUUUGUAUAAAUGAAGUAAAAAUUAUAUUUUAUGUCCUUUGCAAACCUGGAAAAUAUAUUUGUACCUGAGGUACAGAUUAGAGGUGCUAGUAAUUCCUUGAAGAUUCUGAAAAUGGUCUCUUUUUCCAAAAUGCUUUCUUGGCUUUUAAGCUUUCUAAUCUCUUAUAACUUUAAACCUUUCACAUCAGAGAUUUCCAAUGAAUUCAAGCAUGUAUAAAUAUUUAAUGUAUACAUAUUGUUUAAAUUCCCUCCCCAUCAGUAUCUCCUGAUUGAGAAAAUACACAAUGACCAAUAGCUAACAUGAAUUCAGUAUUGCUUUUGAAGAAAUGUGCAUAUUAAUCACCGUAGCAUCAGCAUACAUUGAAACAUAGUAAUAGAGGUAGGUGUAAGAUUUGCUCUGCAGCCAUUACUCGCUCAGGACCUGCAGAUGACUUGUGCAAUUUGGAAGGCUUCCAAGGGUCCACGGUCAGCAGGGGGGAUGACCACUACUUGGAGGUGAGCUGAUGGAAGGCACACAGCAGACAGUCUCCAUCUUCCUGGUUCCUGUGCUCAGCAGAAAGUUGGCAUAAAUUGGGCCAUCAGUAAACACUUGUUGAACAAACUCAUUUGAAAUUAAUGUAUUCCCUUUUUAGCUAUCAGUAUAUGACUAAGAGAAAUUAUAUUGAAACUCAUCUGUGGUGAAGUCAUGUAGUAAACAAUAUCUGAGUUCCUGAUGUGUGCAGAGCAUGGCACUGGAUAUAAUAAAAAGGGUAUUAAAAGUUACAAA
This is an RNA transcript of Cynocephalus volans (Philippine flying lemur), 4134 nucleotides long. It is a transcript of the gene named phosphodiesterase 7A, with no coding region annotated. Lineage: Eukaryota; Metazoa; Chordata; Mammalia; Dermoptera; Cynocephalidae. The record is from RefSeq and is a predicted model, not a curated record. The transcript is spliced from 14 exons.